GAUGAACGCUGACAGAAUGCUUAACACAUGCAAGUCAACUUGAAUUUGGGUUUUUACCUUAGGUUUGGGUGGCGGACGGGUGAGUAACGCGUAAAGAACUUGCCUCACAGCUAGGGACAACAUUUGGAAACGAAUGCUAAUACCUAAUAUUAUGAUAAUAGGGCAUCCUAUAAUUAUGAAAGCUAUAAGCGCUGUGAGAGAGCUUUGCGUCCCAUUAGCUAGUUGGAGAGGUAACGGCUCACCAAGGCGAUGAUGGGUAGCCGGCCUGAGAGGGUGAUCGGCCACAAGGGGACUGAGACACGGCCCUUACUCCUACGGGAGGCAGCAGUGGGGAAUAUUGGACAAUGGACCAAGAGUCUGAUCCAGCAAUUCUGUGUGCACGAUGAAGUUUUUCGGAAUGUAAAGUGCUUUCAGUUGGGAAGAAAGAAAUGACGGUGCCAACAGAAGAAGUGACGGCUAAAUACGUG
RNAcentral lists this ribosomal RNA (467 nucleotides) under uncultured bacterium. RNAcentral's name for it is "partial 16S ribosomal RNA". It matches the Rfam family "Bacterial small subunit ribosomal RNA", at positions 28 to 507 of the family's 1533-position model. The record is from RNAcentral.